This 253-nucleotide ribosomal RNA is filed under the name uncultured bacterium. RNAcentral describes it as "partial 16S ribosomal RNA". It matches the Rfam family "Bacterial small subunit ribosomal RNA", at positions 524 to 776 of the family's 1533-position model. The record is from RNAcentral.
UACGAAGGGUGCGAGCGUUAUUCGGAAUCACUGGGCGUAAAGGGUGCGUAGACGGUGUGUUAAGUUUGUCGUUAAAGACUCUAGCCUAACUGGAGGGUUGCGAUGAAAACUAGCAUGCUAGAGGGUGAGAGAGAGAAGUGGAAUUCCCGGAGUAGCGGUAAAAUGCGUGGAUCUCGGGAGGAACACCAAUGGCGAAGGCAGCUUCUUGGCUCAUUCCUGACGUUGAGGCACGAAAGCGUGGGGAGCGAACAGG